AGCCGAGUGUUUCUGCCUCCUCUGGCCCCAGAACCAGGGGCUGGGUGUCGGAGGCGCCUUGGUGGGGGAAGUUAGGGAGGGUGGUGGGGUGCUGUCUGCGCACGGUCACCUGCUGGCCCAGGACACAGAAAGGUCGUAGAGCCUCGAGCCCGUGGCUAACGGCCCUCCGCAGGGGACUCGGAGGACAGCAGUUGGGCGGGGGCGGGCCCGCGCCCCGGAGGCCCGAGCCGCUACCCUUACCGCUCGCCCUGCGGGUGGUGAGGAUUUUCCCGCGUUUGGGGCAAGCUCCUCUGGCGUUACCUGGGCUUCCGAGCACCGAGGCAGGUGGACGGCCUCCUGGAGAGGCGGGGUGUCGUUCGUGCGCCGGCCCCGCUCGGAUGGGUCGCGGCGAGAGUUCCCGGGGAAUGCGCUCGGCUGGCGUAGAUCCGCCGAAUCACAGUGAUGAGAGGGGUCCUGAGCGCCCAAUUUUCUUAAUUGGCUCCAGGACAGGACGUUUUCGGGAGAAGAUAGCACCUCCACCAUCUGCACAAGAGUCCCCUCCCAUCACCAGCUUCGGCCAAUUGAGUCUUGGGAGCACCAGUCCCUCCAAGCCAGCGGUGAGAGGCAGCACCCCCGGGAGAAGAGAGCAAGUUGUGACCUAAGGACUGAGGACAAGGAGUUCACUCAGAUCAGGAACUUGCUGAAAGAAGACCCCACCGGUAGCUCAUGCAGACUCAGUGAAACUUUGCAGGCACCAGUGCUGGAAUACCGCUCAGAAUGUUCCAGUACCUUAGACCAGCAUCAGGGAACCUUCCAGAGGGGAAGUCAAGCAGCUUGCCCACCCAUGAGAAGAGUUUGAAGAGUUUCAAGCAGGAGAAACAAAAUCUGUGAAGGUGCCGAGAGUGAUCGAACCUGCAGGCCAGACUUCAAGCUCUUUGAAAGAAAAAGAACGCAUCUCAUCUUUAUGUUCUUCCUGGCACCUCUGAGAGACAUGGAGAGACUCAGGACGACUUGUGGACACUGCAAGUGAAGCUGAUGGAUCAUGGUUCAGGGCGGUCAUGGAUGCAGGUGCGUUUACCUUUGACUGAAGUCGGAGCCGCCUUCUCUGGGAUGACUGUUGGUUGGUCUCGUCCAUGUCAUACAGGAGGGAAGUGAUCUCACUGGGAUUACCACCUCCCCACCUGACACCGCCCCCCAGCCAGGAAGGCCAGCCUGCUUAACCCCGAUAUCCGUAAGUGGCAGAUGCUUUGUCCCCAUUGCCUCAGCUCUGCCUGAGAACUGUUGCUACCCACCAUGCAUUGUGCUAAUCCUGGGAAUGACCUUGUGGGGCGGGCAGGAAAUAAGCAAGAAAUCAGUAUUGUAGAGCUGUCCAUCAGAGUGUCCUGGGUAAGUAUGGCUGGCUUAGGGACUACCUUCGGCAUGAACUUGGAGCUCUUAAGGGCAAGGUCUGAAGCAUCUCCAUAUUCACAGUGCCUAGCUUAGCACCUAGGAGGUAUUCGUCUGGCAUGGAGUACGUGAAUUGUGUCUAUAGUCAGCAGCAACCGAGAAGUUCGUGGAGGCAAUGAGAACAGAUGUUAAUGGCUGUAGUGAAUGUCCACCUGGGCCACUCGCAUACCCAGUGAGCGCGCAUCAUCCCUUUGAUGUAUAGCAAAGUUCUGGGUCCCAAGCACAAAACACAGAAAGGGCUUCCUGCCUUUUGUUGUUGCAAAAAUCUCUGCCUCCCCUGGGGAAAGAAAAAAGAGAGUUGGGGGGGAACAUUCUGUGUAUACAUCUAAGGUCUUAUAGAGCCUUAGAGCUCUCUUCUACUUUUCUUUGUUGUUGUUAAUCCUCACCUGAGGAUAUUUUUUCUAUGGCUUUUCAGGGAGAGUGGAAGGGAGGGAAUGUGAGAGAGAGAGAAACAUCAAUGUGAGAGACACAAUGACUAGUUGCCUCCCACGCGUGCCACAACUGGGGGCGGAGAGUGAACCCGCAACCCAGGUACAUGCCCUUGACCGAGAAUGGAACCCUCGACCUUUCAGUACGUUGGCCAACGCUGUAACCACUGAGAAACACCAGCAGGGUUCUUCUACCUUUCUUUAACAGCUAGUAAGUUAGAAUGUUCUUGGUGGGAUAUCAGAGCUGCUUCCCAGUGCUGGCACUGCCUGUGAAAACUGCAUUUCCUAGGGACCCAAGGCUGCUGCUAGGCGGUGGGGCGUGGAACCUGGUGAAGCUGUGAGCCCACCACUGAGCAUUAAGAAGGGAACGAAAGGGAGUGUCCUCGCCAGCUGCCUCUGCAUCUGCUGAGCAAGGCUUACACGUUCACGGGCAGGAGGACAGCUGGUCGCUGGGUUUUGUGCUCCGGUCUUGGAAGUUUUUAAAUGGAAUAUCAUUUGCAGGGAGUCUCCAGAACACCCUCUCAGAUCACUCUUCUAAUGACGAUGCCAAGACCAAAGUGACUAAGAAAUUAUGGAAACAGGCAUAGGAGAUUAAAUGGAUAAUGAAGUGAAGGCUGUUGAAGGAGGAAGGGACUGGAGGGUCAGGUGACUGUGAGCUCCGCACGCCUAGAGAAUUGGCCAACCAGUUCCAAAGGCUUCUAGGAAUUUGCUCAAGAAACCAGAUCUACUCCCUACUCCCUACCACAGAGGACACCAGGAGACUUCCCUGUCCAGAACAGCCAGGGCAGCCUUUUCUGAUGUUCAGUGACAAGCAGACUGUUCUUGCUGGGGCUCUGACCCCACUCACUGAGUGUAUAGGCACAAUUGCAGUGACUAACACCUUUAAUGCCAGCUGUGCCAAGUGCUUCACAUGCAGUAUCUCAUUUAUUUAUUUUUAAAAAGUUAUUUAUUGGUUUGGAGAGAGAGAGAAACAAUGAUUU
Molecule: long non-coding RNA, 2833 nt
Organism: Myotis myotis
Lineage: Eukaryota; Metazoa; Chordata; Mammalia; Chiroptera; Vespertilionidae
Exons: 4
Source: RefSeq, a predicted model, not a curated record